Physeter macrocephalus (sperm whale) is the source of this 143-nucleotide long non-coding RNA. RefSeq lists it as uncharacterized. NCBI's taxonomy places the organism in Eukaryota, Metazoa, Chordata, Mammalia, Artiodactyla, Physeteridae. The record is from RefSeq and is a predicted model, not a curated record. The transcript has 3 exons.
UGGAAACAUCUCACAUACUGCACAUGACAGAUGACUUCUGAAGUAGUGACCCGGAAAAAGUACCCAGGAUCAAAUGCGAGAUUCAAAAAAGGACUCUCACUGUUGUGGCCUCUCCCGUUGUGGAGCACAGGCUCUGGACGCGC